This 319-nucleotide ribosomal RNA is filed under the name uncultured soil bacterium. Its description in RNAcentral is "bacterial SSU rRNA". It matches the Rfam family "Bacterial small subunit ribosomal RNA", at positions 26 to 368 of the family's 1533-position model. The record is from RNAcentral.
AGAACGAACGCUGGCGGCAUGCCUAAUACAUGCAAGUCGAACGAACUCUUCGGAGUUAGUGGCGCACGGGUGCGUAACGCGUGGGAAUCUGCCCUUGGGUUCGGAAUAACAGUUGGAAACGACUGCUAAUACCGGAAUGAUGACGAAAGUCCAAAAGAUUUAUCGCCCAGGGAUGAGCCCGCGUAGGAUUAGGACUAGUUGGUGAGGUAAAGGCUCACCAAGGCGACGAUCCUUAGCUGGUCUGAGAGGAUCGAUCAGCCUACACUGGGACUGAGACACGCCCAGACUCCGUACGGGAGCAGCAGUAGGGAAUAUGGAC